AAGACAUGCCAACGAUAACGAAAUGGCUAUGGCCGCUUAAAUAAAAGCAGCCCAUCGGCCCGGGAAGCCCACGUCCCGGCCAACCGGUGUCAUCAAGUGGGAUCACCCUUCGGAACCUGGCUCCGGGGUUCGUAGGGGAAAUUCAACGGGCUAGCCCUCCGUCGCCGCUCCGAUGCGGCGGACAAGGCGAAACCAAAUCGGAUGCGACGCUCGUACAAUCUCACGGACGACGCACUUGCGGACGCGGGUUCGAAUCCCGCCGCCUCCACUA
Molecule: transfer-messenger RNA, 271 nt
Filed under: Rubrobacter sp.
Lineage: Bacteria; Bacillati; Actinomycetota; Rubrobacteria; Rubrobacterales; Rubrobacteraceae
Description: partial transfer-messenger RNA
Rfam family: transfer-messenger RNA
About the family: Bacterial tmRNA, also known as 10Sa RNA or SsrA, is named for its dual tRNA and mRNA-like properties. Its role is to liberate the mRNA from a stalled ribosome.
Source: RNAcentral